CUUCUUCCGGUCUUUCUCAACUCCGACGCAUUAAGGAGUGGAAGCACGUGUGGAAGUCUGGCGCAACAACGAGGUCUCACCAUGUUGUUGGAAGCCUAUUGUGUCAAACCUUCUAAGCAUGGGUUUGGAUGAAUUUGAUGGACAUCCUGUGGAUGAACGAUACAAUGGAUUCAAGAGAAGGAUGUGUAAUCACUGUUUUGUGAAUUUGAACUGGAGGAACAAAUUGGUCCUUCCUUGCUGCUCGGGAAGUUUAUCCUAAUGGUGUGAUCUGGAAGAUGUCCACUAGGUGACGUGCCUUCACUUUUUCUGGUCACACUUGGCUAGUUUGAAGAAUGAAUAUUGGCAUGCCAUUACAGUGAAGGGGUAAGAGUUGAUGAGGAGUGGAGUGAAGCAUUUCCCAGCAGAAGUUUACUUGGAAGUUGAAGUCUGGUGAUGCUAAAAUCUGUACUGUACAGGAAAUGUAAACUUUGCUGAGCUUUGGAGUGUUGCUUGUAACAAACCUCUUUGGAAGUUUCCAAUAAACCUGACAUUUAAAAA
Molecule: long non-coding RNA, 537 nt
Organism: Myxocyprinus asiaticus (Chinese sucker)
Lineage: Eukaryota; Metazoa; Chordata; Actinopteri; Cypriniformes; Catostomidae
Exons: 8
Source: RefSeq, a predicted model, not a curated record